This 110-nucleotide transfer RNA is filed under the name Roseovarius sp. 217. RNAcentral's name for it is "tRNA-Ala". The record is from RNAcentral. Lineage: Bacteria; Pseudomonadati; Pseudomonadota; Alphaproteobacteria; Rhodobacterales; Roseobacteraceae.
GGUCUCGUCGAUACGCGACAUGGGGUCAGCUCCUUUGCAGCGGGCCGCCAGCGCGGCAAAGAUCGUGGCCGAGGCAAUACCCAAGCCGCGCGCGAAACGCGGCGAGGUCG